RNAcentral lists this ribosomal RNA (254 nucleotides) under uncultured bacterium. Its description in RNAcentral is "partial 16S ribosomal RNA". It matches the Rfam family "Bacterial small subunit ribosomal RNA", at positions 524 to 776 of the family's 1533-position model. The record is from RNAcentral.
UACGUAGGGUGCAAGCGUUGUCCGGAAUUAUUGGGCGUAAAGAGCUCGUAGGCGGCUUGUUGCGUCGACUGUGAAAACCCGCGGCUCAACCGUUGGGCUUGCAGUCGAUACGGGCAGGCUAGAGUUCGGUAGGGGAGACUGGAAUUCCUGGUGUAGCGGUGAAAUGCGCAGAUAUCAGGAGGAACACCGGUGGCGAAGGCGGGUCUCUGGGCCGAUACUGACGCUGAGGAGCGAAAGCGUGGGGAGCAAACAGG